This 253-nucleotide ribosomal RNA is filed under the name uncultured bacterium. RNAcentral's name for it is "partial 16S ribosomal RNA". It matches the Rfam family "Bacterial small subunit ribosomal RNA", at positions 524 to 776 of the family's 1533-position model. The record is from RNAcentral.
GACGCACUGUCCUAACGUUGUUCGGAAUCACUGGGCUUAAAGGGCGCGUAGGCGGUCCGACAAGUCGGGGGUGAAAUCCUGCAGCUUAACUGCAGAAGUGCCUUCGAUACUGUCGGUCUGGAGGGAGAUAGGGGUGUGCGGAACUUCCAGCGGAGCGGUGAAAUGCGUUGAUAUUGGAAGGAACGCCGGAGGCGAAAGCGGCGCACUGGAUCUCUUCUGACGCUGAGGCGCGAAAGCUAGGGGAGCAAACGGG